CCUCCGAUAGCUCAGUUGGAACAGCGCAACACUGUAAUGGGAUCUUUUGUGAUCUUGAGGCCGCUAGUUCGAUCCUGGCUCGGAGGA
Trametes punicea is the source of this 87-nucleotide non-coding RNA. The record is from the annotation of a GenBank genome assembly. NCBI's taxonomy places the organism in Eukaryota, Fungi, Basidiomycota, Agaricomycetes, Polyporales, Polyporaceae.